Molecule: transfer RNA, 35 nt
Filed under: Tarsiger cyanurus pallidior
Lineage: Eukaryota; Metazoa; Chordata; Aves; Passeriformes; Muscicapidae
Description: Luscinia cyanura pallidior partial tRNA-Thr
Source: RNAcentral
CCUACUCUAAUAGUUUAUAAAAACAUUGGUCUUGU